This 319-nucleotide unclassified non-coding RNA is filed under the name Hevea brasiliensis (rubber tree). The record is from RNAcentral. Lineage: Eukaryota; Viridiplantae; Streptophyta; Magnoliopsida; Malpighiales; Euphorbiaceae.
GCCGUUUUGGUUUGAUUAUUUUUUGCUCUUUGUGCUAGUGUUAAAUUAAAGAAAUUAUUUACCUCUUUUGGGAAAAUGAGCAACGAGGGAGAAAAAUAUUAAUGACGGACACAUGUCCCACAUGGUGUCAGUCAUUUACUUGAAAUUUGGUCCAAAUGUCUGAAAAAUUGCCUCUAGAUUCUUCCAUAGAACAGUUUUUGGGUUAUAUAAACCACAAGAAAACUGCCAAGUGAAAAUAGUGGCAAAGAAGAGGUUAGCCCAGAAAGGCUAAACAGAGAGUUUUGGGAUUUUCAUUACAAGGGUGGUUGCCCCUCUCUUG